CCUACGGGAGGCAGCAGUGAGGAAUAUUGGUCAAUGGGCGCGAGCCUGAACCAGCCAAGUCGCGUGAGGGAAGACGGUCCUAUGGAUUGUAAACCUCUUUUGUCGAGGAGCAAAAGACGCCACGCGUGGCGUUCCGAGAGUACCCUAAGAAAAAGCAUCGGCUAACUCCGUGCCAGCAGCCGCGGUAAUACGGAGGAUGCGAGCGUUAUCCGGAUUUAUUGGGUUUAAAGGGUGCGCAGGCGGAAGAUCAAGUCAGCGGUAAAAUUGGGAGGCUCAACCUCUUCGAGCCGUUGAAACUGGGUGUCUUGAGUGAGCGAGAAGUAUGCGGAAUGCGUGGUGUAGCGGUGAAAUGCAUAGAUAUCACGCAGAACUCCGAUUGCGAAGGCAGCAUACCGGCGCUCAACUGACGCUCAUGCACGAAAGUGUGGGUAUCGAACAGGAUUAGAUACCCCUGUAGUC
RNAcentral lists this ribosomal RNA (459 nucleotides) under uncultured bacterium. RNAcentral describes it as "partial 16S ribosomal RNA". It matches the Rfam family "Bacterial small subunit ribosomal RNA", at positions 338 to 795 of the family's 1533-position model. The record is from RNAcentral.